Molecule: ribosomal RNA, 406 nt
Filed under: uncultured bacterium
Lineage: Bacteria
Description: partial 16S ribosomal RNA
Rfam family: Bacterial small subunit ribosomal RNA
Source: RNAcentral
AUUGAACGCUGGCGGCAGGCCUAACACAUGCAAGUCGAACGAGUGGCGGACGGGUGAGUAAUGUCUGGGAAACUGCCUGAUGGAGGGGGAUAACUACUGGAAACGGUAGCUAAUACCGCAUACCAUCGGAUGUGCCCAGAUGUGAUUAGCUAGUAGGUGGGGAAAAGGAUCACCUAGGCGACGAUCCCUAGCUGGUCUGAGAGGAUGACCAGCCACACUGGAACUGAGACAAGGUCCAGACUCCUACGGGGUGCAGCAGUGGCGAAUAUUGCACAAUCGGCGCAAGCCUGAUGCAGCCAUGCCGCGUGUAUGAAGAAGGCCGUCGGGUUGUAAAGUACGUUCAGCGGAGGGGCGUGACCCGCAGAAGAAGCUCCGGCUAACUCCGUGCCAGCCGCCGCGGUAAUAC